RNAcentral lists this non-coding RNA (23 nucleotides) under Arabidopsis thaliana (thale cress). The record is from RNAcentral. Lineage: Eukaryota; Viridiplantae; Streptophyta; Magnoliopsida; Brassicales; Brassicaceae.
CUCUUAUACUUUGUUUACCUAGC